AAACUUCACACUGCAGGAAACUGUGAUGAGGGAACUCCAAGUGCAUCCACUAUGUGGAUGCUUUUUUUGACUAUUAAUCGGUCAACGAAUAAGGGCUGGGAAAGACCGGUG
Molecule: ribosomal RNA, 111 nt
Filed under: uncultured euryarchaeote
Lineage: Archaea; Methanobacteriati; Methanobacteriota
Description: partial 16S ribosomal RNA
Rfam family: Archaeal small subunit ribosomal RNA
Source: RNAcentral